Molecule: long non-coding RNA, 250 nt
Filed under: Zonotrichia albicollis (white-throated sparrow)
Lineage: Eukaryota; Metazoa; Chordata; Aves; Passeriformes; Passerellidae
Description: lncRNA (ENSZALG00000014213.1)
Source: RNAcentral
CUACAAUGGAAGGAUCUGCCCACCUCACCACAGCUCACAGACAUCAUGGGUUUUCUUUGAGAAGAGAAGAGAAGAAGAGAAGCAACUAAAAACCACAAUUCACCAGUCCAAGAUAAAAUUCAGCAACAGCCCAAGAGGCACCAGGCAGGCAUGCAAACUGUGCAUACACAAGGAGAGAUCAGCCAGGGGCCUUUCAUGCUUCUGAGACCUUGACUACACCAGCACUGAGGAGAAAUUGCCAGACACAGCU